AUUGAACGCUGGCGGCAUGCUUUACACAUGCAAGUCGAACGGUAACAGGCCUUCGGGUGCUGACGAGUGGCGCACGGGUGAGUAAUGCAUCGGAACGUACCCAGAGGUGGGGGAUAACGCAGCGAAAGCUGUGCUAAUACCGCAUGUGAUCUGAGGAUGAAAGCGGGGGACCGAGCAGCAAUGUUUGGCCUCGCGCCUUUGGAGCGGCCGAUGUCGGAUUAGCUAGUUGGUGGGGUAAAGGCCUACCAAGGCGACGAUUCGUAGCUGGUCUGAGAGGACGACCAGCCACACUGGGACUGAGACACGGCCCAGACUCCUACGGGAGGCAGCAGUGGGGAAUUUUGGACAAAGGGCGCAAGCCUGAUCCAGCAAUGCCGCGUGCGGGAAGAAGGCCUUCGGGUUGUAAACCGCUUUUGGCAGGAACGAAACGGUGUCCGCUAAUACCGGGCGCUAAUGACGGUACCUGCAGAAUAAGCACCGGCUAACUACGUG
This 492-nucleotide ribosomal RNA is filed under the name uncultured bacterium. Its description in RNAcentral is "partial 16S ribosomal RNA". It matches the Rfam family "Bacterial small subunit ribosomal RNA", at positions 29 to 507 of the family's 1533-position model. The record is from RNAcentral.